AUUGAACGCUGGAGGCAUGCCUUACACAUGCAAGUCGAACGGUAACAGGUUAAGCUGACGAGUGGCGAACGGGUGAGUAAUACAUCGGAACGUGCCCAGACGUGGGGGAUAGCUCGGCGAAAGCCGGAUUAAUACCGCAUAAGCUCUGAGGAGGAAAGCGGGGGACCGUAAGGCCUCGCGCGUUUGGAGCGGGCGAUGGCAGAUUAGGUAGUUGGGGGGGUAAAGGCUUACCAAGCCUACGAUCUGUAGCUGGUCUGGGAGGACGACCAGCCACACUGGGACUGAGACACGGGCGAGAGUCCUUCGGGAGGCAGCAGUGGGUAAUGUUGUACAAUGUGCGAAAGCGUGAUCCAGCAAUGCCGCGUGCAGGAUGGAGGCCUUCGGGUUGUAAACUGCUUUUGUACGGAACGAAAAGGCGCCUACUAAUACUGGGUGUUGAUGACGGUACCGUAAGAAUAAGCACCUGCUAACUACGUGCCAGCAGCCGCCGUAA
This 493-nucleotide ribosomal RNA is filed under the name uncultured bacterium. RNAcentral describes it as "partial 16S ribosomal RNA". It matches the Rfam family "Bacterial small subunit ribosomal RNA", at positions 30 to 523 of the family's 1533-position model. The record is from RNAcentral.